RNAcentral lists this ribosomal RNA (1536 nucleotides) under Triticum aestivum (bread wheat). RNAcentral's name for it is "partial small subunit ribosomal RNA". The record is from RNAcentral. Lineage: Eukaryota; Viridiplantae; Streptophyta; Magnoliopsida; Poales; Poaceae.
AUGCUGACCUGCGGCCGAUACCUAUCCUCCGCCGCUGCCACAACGCCAUCCUUUCCCCCGCUCCGGACACUAACCUUCUCUCUCCUCCGCUAUCAUCCUAUCCGCUUCCUCUCGUUCUCCUCCGCCGCCGCCACCACCGCAGUCGAACCUGAGACCAUAAGCGGCGGCGGCGGCGCGGGUGGUGGUGCCACGAGGCCGCAGUGGAAGGCGGCGAUAGACUUCAAGUGGAUCCGGGACAACAGGGAUGUCGUCGCCACCAACAUCCGGAAUCGGAACUCCGCCGCCAACCUCGACGUCGUCCUCCAGCUCUACGAUCAGUACCUCGCGCUGCAGAAGGAGGUCGAACGGCUCCGAGCUGAAAGAAAUGCAGUUGCUAACAAAAUGAAAGAGAAACUAGACCCGUCUUUGCGACAAGCCCUUGUUGACGAAGGCAAAAACCUGAAAGAAAGCCUUAUUGCACUAGAAGAGGAUCUUGUUCAGCUAACUUAUAAGCUUCAGUUAGAAGCACAAAGCAUUCCUAAUACUACACAUCCAGAUGUGCCUGUAGGGGAUGAGGAAAGCUCUGUCACCAGAAAGGAGGUAGGCAGUCAGAGAAGCUUCAGUUUCCCCAUUAAAGACCACCUUCAGCUUGGGAAGGACCUUGAUUUAUUCGACUUUGAUGCAGCUUCUGAGGUUAGUGGUUCAAAGUUCUACUACCUGAAGAAUGAAGCUGUUUUGUUGGAGAUGGCCCUUGUAAAUUGGGGUAUUGCUGAGGUCUCAAAGAAGGGUUUCACACCACUCAUAACUCCAGAGAUUGUUAGAUCAUCUGUUGUUGAGAGAUGCGGCUUCCAGCCAAGGGCCCAAAAUACUCAGGUCUAUUCAAUAGAUAACAGUGAUCAGUGCCUCAUAGGGACUGCAGAAAUUCCCGUUGGAGGCAUCCAUAUGAACUCUAUCCUUGUCGACUCUGAUUUACCUCUAAAAUAUGUGGCAUAUUCACACUGUUUUCGCACAGAAGCAGGUGCCGCAGGUGCUGCCACUAGGGGCCUUUACCGAGUACAUCAAUUUAGCAAGGUUGAGAUGUUCAUAUUCUGUCGGCCAGAGGAAAGUGACAAGUACCAUGAAGAACUUAUAACCAUCGAAGAGAAUCUUUAUGCAUCACUUGGACUUCAUUUCAAAACUUUGGAUAUGGCAACAGGAGAUUUGGGCGCUCCAGCCUACAGAAAGUAUGACAUUGAGGCAUGGAUGCCAGGCCUGGAUCGGUACGGUGAGAUCUCAAGUGCAUCAAACUGCACGGACUACCAGAGCAGGCGGCUGGGUAUCCGGUUCCGUCCAGCACCCUUGGAGCCUCCACCGUCGACGAACAGCAAGAAAGGGAAAGGGGGUAGUUCAGGUCCGACGCAGUUUGUCCACACGCUCAACGCAACGGCAGUCGCUGUUCCUCGCCUGAUCAUAUCCAUUUUGGAGAAUUUUCAGCAAGAGGAUGGUAUGGUGGUGAUUCCUGAGCCGCUGAGGCCCUUCAUGGGUGGGCUUGGCGUCCUCACCCCAAAAACCAAGUGA